Long non-coding RNA from Hordeum vulgare subsp. vulgare (domesticated barley), 170 nucleotides. RefSeq lists it as uncharacterized. NCBI's taxonomy places the organism in Eukaryota, Viridiplantae, Streptophyta, Magnoliopsida, Poales, Poaceae. The record is from RefSeq and is a predicted model, not a curated record. The transcript has 3 exons.
GGAACAUGAAGCUUAUGAUGACCCAUAGUUGGAUGUAUGUGAGAGGAUGAACAUUCAGACAUCCUUGAUGACUGGGAUUCUAGGAAGACGAUCACAUACUCGACCAGCCCACCUGUCACCGCGAGAAUCAUCCUGGUAACAAUAAAAUCUACAACCAAGAACAUUUGUUU